GAUGAACGCUGGCGGCGUGCCUAAUACAUGCAAGUCGAGCGAACAGAUGAGGAGCUUGCUCCUCUGACGUUAGCGGCGGACGGGUGAGUAACACGUGGAUAACCUACCUAUAAGACUGGGAUAACUUCGGGAAACCGGAGCUAAUACCGGAUAAUAUAUUGAACCGCAUGGUUCAAUAGUGAAAGACGGUUUUGCUGUCACUUAUAGAUGGAUCCGCGCCGCAUUAGCUAGUUGGUAAGGUAACGGCUUACCAAGGCAACGAUGCGUAGCCGACCUGAGAGAGUGAUCGGCCACACUGGAACGGAGACACGGUCCAGACUCCUACGGGAGGCAGCAGUAGGGAAUCUUCCGCAAUGGGCGAAAGCCUGACGGAGCAACGCCGCGUGAGUGAUGAAGGUCUUCGGAUCGUAAAACUCUGUUAUUAGGGAAGAACAAAUGUGUAAGUAACUAUGCACGUCUUGACGGUACCUAAUCAGAAAGCCACGGCUAACUACGUG
RNAcentral lists this ribosomal RNA (497 nucleotides) under uncultured bacterium. RNAcentral describes it as "partial 16S ribosomal RNA". It matches the Rfam family "Bacterial small subunit ribosomal RNA", at positions 28 to 507 of the family's 1533-position model. The record is from RNAcentral.